Molecule: ribosomal RNA, 449 nt
Filed under: uncultured organism
Description: partial 16S ribosomal RNA
Rfam family: Bacterial small subunit ribosomal RNA
Source: RNAcentral
CGUACACUCCUGCGGGAGGCAGCAGUGGGGAAUAUUAGACAAUGGGCGCAAGCCUGAUCCAGCCAUGCCGCGUGAGUGAUGAAGGCCCUAGGGUUGUAAAGCUCUUUCACCGGUGAAGAUAAUGACGGUAACCGGAGAAGAAGCCCCGGCUAACUUCGUGCCAGCAGCCGCGGUAAUACGAAGGGGGCUAGCGUUGUUCGGAUUUACUGGGCGUAAAGCGCACGUAGGCGGACUAUUAAGUCAGGGGUGAAAUCCCGGGGCUCAACCCCGGAACUGCCUUUGAUACUGGUAGUCUUGAGUUCGAGAGAGGUGAGUGGAAUUCCGAGUGUAGAGGUGAAAUUCGUAGAUAUUCGGAGGAACACCAGUGGCGAAGGCGGCUCACUGGCUCGAUACUGACGCUGAGGUGCGAAAGCGUGGGGAGCAAACAGGAUUAGAUACCCUAGUAGUCC